GCGCUCUUUGUGAGGAACGGAGCGCUUUGCGCGUGCGCGACGAGUAGGCGCGCGUUGCGCCCCUUGUUGAAUUAUGGUGUGGAGCGAAAGCGCUCUAGAGAGGGAAGUGAGUGGCUUCAAGGGUUGGGACUGGCGGUAGCUCCCGGGUCAGUUGUUACAGGAAGCAGAUACCACAGCUGAUUUCAACCAGAAAAUGGAGGGAGUUGGCUUUCAUCGCACCCCAGUGUGACAUGAUUCCGACUGACUGUGUCUGCGGAAUAGCAACUGCUUCUUUUCUCAAAAGGAAUCCUGGUAUCAAGGAUGGAUAUGCUAGCUGACUCAGCCAGCAGCGCCAGAGUUCAUGAUCAACCAGCUGCCCCACAGUGAUGGCCGCACAGCUCCUCAGAAGGGUGGUGUCCACCAGGAACCUUCUGAGACUGAUUGCCAAUCUUUGACGUCACCUUUGUCUCCAUGUCCUUCCGUCUUCUCUUUCCUGGAGGUAUUGCUUCUUUGAUUUAACAGAUGCUUGUCAAUUCUUUACCUAGUGCAGAGUCAUUAAAAAUGUGUCCCCGGUUUUCUGCCUUCUGUGGUUCUAUCGCUUACAUUUCAAUAUUUGAUCCAUUUUGAGUUAAAGGAGUUAAUCCUUGUAUACAGAAUCAGGCAAGGCUCCAACCUCAUUCUUUUGCGUGUGAUGAUUC
This is a non-coding RNA of Oryctolagus cuniculus (rabbit), 677 nucleotides long. Lineage: Eukaryota; Metazoa; Chordata; Mammalia; Lagomorpha; Leporidae. The record is from RefSeq and is a predicted model, not a curated record.